RNAcentral lists this transfer RNA (64 nucleotides) under Eubasilissa regina. RNAcentral describes it as "tRNA-Gly". The record is from RNAcentral. Lineage: Eukaryota; Metazoa; Arthropoda; Insecta; Trichoptera; Phryganeidae.
AUUUACAUAAUAUAUUUAGUAUAUUUGAUUUCCAAUCAAAAAGUUUAUUUUUCUAAUGUAAAUA